UUAUGUCAUGGCCCCACGGUUGCUGCUCUUGCACCAACGUUUGGACGUGGUGCGAUGAC
Molecule: non-coding RNA, 59 nt
Filed under: Citrobacter freundii
Lineage: Bacteria; Pseudomonadati; Pseudomonadota; Gammaproteobacteria; Enterobacterales; Enterobacteriaceae
Source: RNAcentral